UCUGGGUGUAGUGGUGCACACCUGUACUCCCAGCAGUUUGGAGGAUGAGGCAGGAGGAUCACAAGUUUGAAGCCAGCUUCAGCAAUUUAGUGAGACCUUAAGCAACUUAGUGAUAUCCUGUCUCAA
This 126-nucleotide small RNA is filed under the name Marmota monax (woodchuck). The record is from RNAcentral. Lineage: Eukaryota; Metazoa; Chordata; Mammalia; Rodentia; Sciuridae.